RNAcentral lists this transfer RNA (357 nucleotides) under uncultured Microcystis sp. RNAcentral's name for it is "partial 16S-23S ribosomal RNA intergenic spacer". The stretch from base 133 to 206 matches the Rfam family "tRNA". The record is from RNAcentral. Lineage: Bacteria; Bacillati; Cyanobacteriota; Cyanophyceae; Chroococcales; Microcystaceae.
AAGGGAGACCUAAUUCAGGUAGGAGACGAAAAAAUAGUAGUCGAAACCAAGAAUCAAUCCCAAAAGGUCGGAACGAGGUAUGUGGCUUUCAAACUAGGUUCUGGGUUCACAAAAGACCUGAAUCAGGAACAAGGGCUAUUAGCUCAGGUGGUUAGAGCGCACCCCUGAUAAGGGUGAGGUCCCUGGUUCGAGUCCAGGAUGGCCCACCUGCACAGGUGGCAAAAACAAGAGAAACGAGGAAUCAGCACCUUAUCUUACUUACAUAGUAAGAGAGAAUGCUGGCUCUGAGUAAAGAGUCCAGAGGAACCUUGAAAACUGCAUAGAGCUAGGUGAAAAAGCCAAAAAAGAAGACCGCAA